Molecule: ribosomal RNA, 469 nt
Filed under: uncultured Glomus
Lineage: Eukaryota; Fungi; Glomeromycota; Glomeromycetes; Glomerales; Glomeraceae
Description: SSU rRNA
Rfam family: Eukaryotic small subunit ribosomal RNA
Source: RNAcentral
AGCAGCCGCGGUAAUUCCAGCUCCAAUAGCGUAUAUUAAAGUUGUUGCAGUUAAAAAGCUCGUAGUUGAAUUUCGGGAUCAAUAUAUCGGUCGUGCCUUCGGUACGUACUGGUAUCAUUGGUUUCUCCUUUCUGACGAACCAUGAUGUUAUUAAUUUGGUGUUAUGGGGAGUUAGGACUGUUACUUUGAAAAAUUAGAGUGUUUAAAGCAGGCUUUAGCUUGAAUACAUUAGCAUGGAAUAAUGAAAUAGGACGUUUGAUCCUAUUUCGUUGGUUUCUAGGAUCGACGUAAUGAUUAAUAGGGAUAGUUGGGGGCAUUAGUAUUCAAUUGUCAGAGGUGAAAUUCUUGGAUUUAUUGAAGACUAACUACUGCGUAAAAGCAAUUUGCCAAGGAUGUUUUCAUUAAUUCAAGAACGAAAGUUAGGGGAUCGAAGACGAUCAGAUACCGUCGUAGUCUUAACCAUAAACUA